CCCGUCCUCCCCCGGCACCCCACCCCAGGAUACCCCGUUGCCUUGGAGACCACAAGUUUUCAACCUCCUUGUCUGAAGGAAUGGCUGUUAACAUGCGGCUAUUUGCGGUCUUCCCUUAUGUUUUUUCGAUGUCAGUUUUCUUGUCGGAGGCAUCCUUUGAGUCGGGAACUCCAGAUUUGCAUUUUGGAAUAUUGGUUGCCUCUUAGUCCCUGACAAGUGUCUGAAUCUAUAGUCAUACGGUUACAAGGAAAAUAAGCAAAUGAUGAAAAGAGGUGCUAAAGACAUACCUGCUGGGCAAGAAGGGGAGAGUCUAGAGACUCGUUUCAGGAAGAGAUUCUUCUAGAUGUGCCUGUGUGAUGAGACAGGCGGAUGUUUUUCCUGUAAGUCUGGAAUACCCUAGCACUUCAAUAAAAGCUGGC
Molecule: long non-coding RNA, 419 nt
Filed under: Bos indicus x Bos taurus (hybrid cattle)
Lineage: Eukaryota; Metazoa; Chordata; Mammalia; Artiodactyla; Bovidae
Description: lncRNA (ENSBIXG00000017552.1)
Source: RNAcentral